GACGAACGCUGGCGGCGUGCUUAACACAUGCAAGUCGAACGGAAAGGCCCUGCUUUUGUGGGGUGCUCGAGUGGCGAACGGGUGAGUAACACGUGAGUAACCUGCCCUUGACUUUGGGAUAACUUCAGGAAACUGGGGCUAAUACCGGAUAGGAGCUCCUGCUGCAUGGUGGGGGUUGGAAAGUUUCGGCUGUUGGGGAUGGACUCGCGGCUUAUCAGCUUCAUGGGGGGGUAGUGGCUUACCAAGGCUGUGACGGGUAGCCGGCCUGAGAGGGUUGCCGGCCACAGUGGGACUGAGAUACGGACCAGACGGCUACGGGAGGCAGCAGUGGGGAAUAUGGCAGAAUGGGCGGAAGCCUGAUGCAGAAACGCCGCGUGCGGGAUGACGGCCUUCGGGUUGUAAACCGCUUUCGCCUGUGACGAAGCGUGAGUGACGGUAAUGGGUAAAGAAGCACCGGCUAACUACGUG
Molecule: ribosomal RNA, 468 nt
Filed under: uncultured bacterium
Lineage: Bacteria
Description: partial 16S ribosomal RNA
Rfam family: Bacterial small subunit ribosomal RNA
Source: RNAcentral